Molecule: ribosomal RNA, 1372 nt
Filed under: uncultured bacterium
Lineage: Bacteria
Description: bacterial SSU rRNA
Rfam family: Bacterial small subunit ribosomal RNA
Source: RNAcentral
GAUGAACGCUGGCGGCGUGCCUAAUACAUGCAAGUCGAGCGAACGGACGAGAAGCUUGCUUCUCUGAUGUUAGCGGCGGACGGGUGAGUAACACGUGGAUAACCUACCUAUAAGACUGGGAUAACUUCGGGAAACCGUAGCUAAUACCGGAUAAUAUUUUGAACCGCAUGGUUCAAAAGUGAAAGACGGUCUUGCUGUCACUUAUAGAUGGAUCCGCGCUGCAUUAGCUAGUUGGUAAGGUAACGGCUUACCAAGGCAACGAUGCAUAGCCGACCUGAGAGGGUGAUCGGCCACACUGGAACUGAGACACGGUCCAGACUCCUACGGGAGGCAGCAGUAGGGAAUCUUCCGCAAUGGGCGAAAGCCUGACGGAGCAACGCCGCGUGAGUGAUGAAGGUCUUCGGAUCGUAAAACUCUGUUAUUAGGGAAGAACAUAUGUGUAAGUAACUGUGCACAUCUUGACGGUACCUAAUCAGAAAGCCACGGCUAACUACGUGCCAGCAGCCGCGGUAAUACGUAGGUGGCAAGCGUUAUCCGGAAUUAUUGGGCGUAAAGCGCGCGUAGGCGGUUUUUUAAGUCUGAUGUGAAAGCCCACGGCUCAACCGUGGAGGGUCAUUGGAAACUGGAAAACUUGAGUGCAGAAGAGGAAAGUGGAAUUCCAUGUGUAGCGGUGAAAUGCGCAGAGAUAUGGAGGAACACCAGUGGCGAAGGCGACUUUCUGGUCUGUAACUGACGCUGAUGUGCGAAAGCGUGGGGAUCAAACAGGAUUAGAUACCCUGGUAGUCCACGCCGUAAACGAUGAGUGCUAAGUGUUAGGGGGUUUCCGCCCCUUAGUGCUGCAGCUAACGCAUUAAGCACUCCGCCUGGGGAGUACGACCGCAAGGUUGAAACUCAAAGGAAUUGACGGGGACCCGCACAGGCGGUGGAGCAUGUGGUUUAAUUCGAAGCAACGCGAAGAACCUUACCAAAUCUUGACAUCCUUUGACAACUCUAGAGAUAGAGCCUUCCCCUUCGGGGGACAAAGUGACAGGUGGUGCAUGGUUGUCGUCAGCUCGUGUCGUGAGAUGUUGGGUUAAGUCCCGCAACGAGCGCAACCCUUAAGCUUAGUUGCCAUCAUUAAGUUGGGCACUCUAAGUUGACUGCCGGUGACAAACCGGAGGAAGGUGGGGAUGACGUCAAAUCAUCAUGCCCCUUAUGAUUUGGGCUACACACGUGCUACAAUGGACAAUACAAAGGGCAGCGAAACCGCGAGGUCAAGCAAAUCCCAUAAAGUUGUUCUCAGUUCGGAUUGUAGUCUGCAACUCGACUACAUGAAGCUGGAAUCGCUAGUAAUCGUAGAUCAGCAUGCUACGGUGAAUACGUUCCCGGGUCU